RNAcentral lists this long non-coding RNA (487 nucleotides) under Homo sapiens (human). RNAcentral describes it as "non-protein coding lnc-UXS1-5:1". The record is from RNAcentral. Lineage: Eukaryota; Metazoa; Chordata; Mammalia; Primates; Hominidae.
AAUGCAUCGUGAUUCCUGUCCAUUGGACUGUAAGGUUUAUGUAGGCAAUCUUGGAAACAAUGGCAACAAGACCGAACUGGAACGGGCUUUUGGCUAGUAUGGACCACUCCAAAGUGUGUGGGUUGCUAGAAACCCUCGCGGCUUUGCUUUUGUUGAAUUUGAAGAUCCCCGAGAUGCAGCUGAUGUGGUCUGAGAACUAGAUGGAAGAACACUAUGUGGCCGCUGUGUAAGAGUGGAACUGUCGAAUGGUGAUAAAAGAAGUAGAAAUCGUAGCCCACCUCCCUCUUGGGGUCAUCGUCCUUGAGAUGAUUAUCAUAGGAGGAGUCUUCCACCUCGUCGUAGAUCUCCAAGAAGAAGCCUCUCUCGCAGCCGGAGCAGGUCCCUUUCUAGAGAUAGGAGAAGAGAGAGAUCUCUGUCUUGGGAGGGAAAUCACAAGCCGUCCAGAUCCUUCUCUAGGUCUCGUAGCCGAUCUAGGUCAAAUAAAAAA